RNAcentral lists this transfer RNA (65 nucleotides) under Bittacus strigosus. Its description in RNAcentral is "tRNA-His". Lineage: Eukaryota; Metazoa; Arthropoda; Insecta; Mecoptera; Bittacidae. The record is from RNAcentral.
AUCUAAGUAGUUUAAAGAAAAUAUUGAUUUGUGGUGUCAAAGAUAUAGAGUAUCUAUUUUAGAUC